Molecule: ribosomal RNA, 227 nt
Filed under: uncultured bacterium
Lineage: Bacteria
Description: partial 16S ribosomal RNA
Rfam family: Bacterial small subunit ribosomal RNA
Source: RNAcentral
GGGGAGCGGCAGACGGGAGAGUAACACGUGGGAACGUACCCUUCGGUUCGGAACAACCCAGGGAAACUUGGGCUAAUACCGGAUACGUCCGUAAGGAGAAAGAUUCAUCGCCGAAGGAUCGGCCCGCGUCUGAUUAGCUAGUUGGUGAGGUAACGGCUCACCAAGGCGACGAUCAGUAGCUGGUCUGAGAGGAUGAUCAGCCUCACUGGGACUGAGACACGGCCCAG